Molecule: ribosomal RNA, 403 nt
Filed under: uncultured prokaryote
Description: bacterial SSU rRNA
Rfam family: Bacterial small subunit ribosomal RNA
Source: RNAcentral
UCGAGAAUCUUCCGCAAUGGGCGAAAGCCUGACGGAGCAACGCCGCGUGCAGGAUGAAGGCCUUCGGGUCGUAAACUGCUGUCCCCGGGGAUGAAUAAUGACAGUACCCGGGGAGGAAGUCACGGCUAACUACGUGCCAGCAGCCGCGGUAAUACGUAGGUGACGAACGUUGUUCGGAUUUAUUGGGCGUAAAGGGUUCGUAGGGUGUUUAUUAAGAUUGGUGUGAAAUCCGAAGGCUCAACCUUGGAACUGCAUUGAUUACUGAUGAACUAGAGUAUCGUAGAGGAAAGUGUAAUUCCAGGUGUAGCGGUGGAAUGCGUAGAUAUCUGGAAGAACACCGACAGCGAAGGCAACUUUCUGGGCGAUAACUGACUCUGAGGAACGAAAGCAUGGGGAGCAAACA